This is a non-coding RNA of Phyllosticta citriasiana, 71 nucleotides long. Lineage: Eukaryota; Fungi; Ascomycota; Dothideomycetes; Botryosphaeriales; Phyllostictaceae. The record is from the annotation of a GenBank genome assembly.
UCCAUCGUGGUACAGUGGUAGCACGCCAGGCCAGACAUCUGAAAACCCGAGUUCAACUCUCGGCGAUGGAG